UUUGUCAUCUUUGAAUGCCGAGUCCAGGCCACAGCUGCAGUUCAAGUUCACUGGUACAGAGAGACAGAACAGAUCGCAGACUCAGAUGACUUCCGGAUUCUGAGGAAAAAAGCUUGCUUAUCAUCCAUUCCCGAGGAAGUCUGCACCUUGAUUAUCACGGAAGCAUUUCCUGAGGACUCUGGGGAAUUCAAGUGCAUUGCAGAAAACGAGGCUGGGACUGCAAUCUCAGCAGCAAGACUCUUUGUCUCCCCAGAAGGAAAAGAAGUGGAAAAAUCAGAAAAUCCUCCAAAGUUACCCAUGAGGAAGUGUUCU
Manis javanica (Malayan pangolin) is the source of this 312-nucleotide non-coding RNA. NCBI's taxonomy places the organism in Eukaryota, Metazoa, Chordata, Mammalia, Pholidota, Manidae. The record is from RefSeq and is a predicted model, not a curated record.